Long non-coding RNA from Megalobrama amblycephala (Wuchang bream), 1272 nucleotides. RefSeq lists it as uncharacterized. Lineage: Eukaryota; Metazoa; Chordata; Actinopteri; Cypriniformes; Xenocyprididae. The transcript has 3 exons. The record is from RefSeq and is a predicted model, not a curated record.
CAACCUUUUUAACAUGUUUCUUUGUAUCUUAUUUGUCACAGUUUUUAUUUCAAUACAAAGAUUAUCUGGUAGAACAGUUAGAUUUCUAUACACUUCUGUGAUUGUAGACGAUGCAGCGUGUGAACAGGACUUUUAUUUUGGAGUGACGACAUGACGUCAUAAGACGGCGCCGCGCUCCUGCAUCUGCUGAAGAAAGGUUUGUUUUAAGAAUUUAAGCCGUUUUAAUCGAUAGGAACAGUACAAUGAUUUAUAGUUGUUACAGUUUUUUAAAGCGAUGUGAAAUUAAUUUAUUUACUAUCUAAUGUAACAUUGUGAUGAUUUAUCAUUAAUUAAAAUACCAAGUGUAGAUAAUAAAUGCCUUAAUAUGAAGUGUUUAUUAAUUUGCAGCGUUAGUUUUUAGUGUUUUUUUAACAGGUCAUUGAAGACCAUUAACUGUUAUUCUCUUCUUAAAGAUGGAGUUCAUUAAAGAGGAGACUGAAGAUAUGAAGAUAAUUAUUAAAGAUGAAACUGAAGACAUGAAGAUUGAAGAUAUUGAGGAACAAACAGGUUGGUUUAGGUCCGCCUGUCACGUCAUUGCCUGCUGGGAUGCGAGUUUCCCUCCAACGAUGGGGAAAAACAUAUCUUGAUCGCAUUAUGCAAGUCAAUCCAUGUUCAUUUUGCCCACACACAAGUGCAGCACAGCAAAAAUAGACUCGGUACAUAAACGAUCGCUGCACUGAUGGACCAAAGAGCGCGCAUUUCGACAUUUGCAGUAAAAACUUGAAAUAUAAAUUCUCAGAAAAUGCCUUUAAUACCAAUAUAUUGAAACGUCUGUUUAUAUGCUCCAUUAAUAAAGGAGUCCAGACAUUGGAAAAAUAUCAGUCCACAUGCGUUUUAUAUUUAAUAUUAGGGAAAUAGACAUGCAUGCAUGCGUGACACAAAAAAUCUUUAACUUUUAGGUAGCAAAAUAUUUUUUAGUAAUUCUGUCAAUUACGCAUACAAGGUUAUUACAUUGUCUGCUAUAUAUUUGCUUCUUAUUUAUUAAAUACGGGCAAUUGAUUAAUAAAACAUUGAUCAAAAUUAAGAUACAAUUUAUACAAAACGAAUAUCUUUUAAAAAGAGUUUUCUAUAAAACAAAACUUAAUGAAGUCGUCAAAAUCAUGUUUUACCAAAAACAGCGCCGUUGCUAGGAGGGCGCCAGCGCCUCUGCCUUUCAGCGCUGUAGCAAAUUAGCUCAAAAUAAAUAUGAAUAAUUAAUCAUAACUAGUUAUAAUUAAUUAUUAAUAUUUUAAU